This 1568-nucleotide long non-coding RNA is filed under the name Daucus carota (carrot). Its description in RNAcentral is "long non-coding RNA (DCAR_LNC004057)". The record is from RNAcentral. Lineage: Eukaryota; Viridiplantae; Streptophyta; Magnoliopsida; Apiales; Apiaceae.
CCCAAUUUAACACUAGAUCCGUUUCCUCACAUCUUUUCAACACUCGAUCUAGAUUGUUAAGGCAUUGGUGAAAAGAUGGACCAAAGAUGGAAAAGUCAUCUAUGAAGACUUCUAGAAAGUCACCUAUCAUUUCCGAGAAGAUGCUAGUCAUGCACCUUUGGAACGUGGACGGGCCCGUGGUUAGGCCGAAAGCUAGACGUCUAUAAGCGAAGGUUCCAAAAGGGCAAGUGAAGGUGGUCUUUUCUUGGUCCUCGGGUGCGAUUGGGAUUUGAAAAUAUCCCGAGUAACCAUCUAAGAAGCAAUAAAACGCAUGACCCGCUAACCUCUCUAGCAUUUGAUCGAUAAAAGGCAAAGGAAAAUGAUCUUUCCUAGUGACGGCAUUGAGCUUCCUAAAGUCUAUGCACAUUCUCCAACCGGAUUGGACACGGGUUGGAACUUGCUCAUUGUUCUCAUUGGUCACCAAAGUAAUGCCCGACUUCUUAGGCACUACAUGGACGGGACUCACCCACUUACUAUCGGAAAUGGGAUAAAUGAUCCCAUUGUCUAAGCAUUUAAGAAUUUCUUUCUUAACUACCUCCAUCAUGGGAGGAUUCAACCUCCUUUGAGGUUCUCUCACGGGCUUUGCAUCUUCUACCAAAUGAAUCCUAUGUUGGACAAUCGCCGGGCUAAUUCCUUUAAUGUCCGAAAUGCUCCACCCUAUCGCUCCCUUAUGCUUUCUAAGGAUUCCUAAAAGUUCUUCCUCUUGUGACGUAGUCAAAUUAGAGGCAAUGAUAACGGGAAAUUUCAACACUAAGUCUAGAUUGUUAAGGCAUUGGUGAAAAGAUGGACCAAAGAUGGAAAAGUCAUCUAUGAAGACUUCUAGAAAGUCACCUAUCAUUUCCGAGAAGAUGCUAGUCAUGCACCUUUGGAACGUGGAUGGGCCCGUGGUUAGGCCAAAAGCUAAGCGUCUAUACGCGAAGGUUCCAAAAGGGCAAGUGAAGGUGGUCUUUUCUUGGUCUUCGGGUGCAAUCGGGAUUUGAAAAUAUCCCGAGUAACCGUCUAAGAAGCAAUAAAACGCGUGACCCGCUAACCUCUCCAGAAUUUGAUCGAUAAAGGGCAAAGGGAAAUGAUCUUUCCUAGUGACGGCAUUGAGCUUCCUAAAAUCUAUGCACAUUCUCCAACCGGAUUGGACACGUGUGGGAACUUGCUCAUUAUUCUCAUUCGUCACUAAAGUGAUGCCCGACUUCUUAGGCACUACAUGGACGGGACUCACCCACUUACUAUCGGAAAUGGGAUAAAUGAUCCCAUUGUCUAAGCACUUAAGAAUUUCUUUCUUAACUACCUCCAUCAUGGGAGGAUUCAACCUCCUUUGAGGUUCUCUCACGGGCUUUGCAUCUUCUACCAAAUGAAUCCUAUGUUGGACAAUCGCCGGGCUAAUUCCUUUAAUGUCCGAAAUGCUCCACCCUAUCGCUCCCUUAUGCUUUCUAAGGAUUCCUAAAAGUUCUUCCUCUUGUGACGUAGUCAAAUUAGAGGCAAUGAUAACGGGAUAUGACUCGUUAGGGCCUAGAAAAGCAUACUUAAGAGUGUCG